This 255-nucleotide ribosomal RNA is filed under the name uncultured archaeon. RNAcentral describes it as "partial 16S ribosomal RNA". It matches the Rfam family "Archaeal small subunit ribosomal RNA", at positions 748 to 1004 of the family's 1478-position model. The record is from RNAcentral.
CAGCCGUAAACUAUGCGCGUUAGGUGUACUGGUGACCACGAGUCACCGGGUGCCGAAGGGAAACCGUGAAACGUGCCGCCUGGGAAGUACGGUCGCAAGGCUGAAACUUAAAGGAAUUGGCGGGGAGCACCACAACGGGUGGAGCCUGCGGUUUAAUUGGACUCAACGCCGGAAAUCUCACCGGAUAGGACAGACAUAUGAUAGUCGGGCUGAAGACUCUACUUGAUGAUCUGAGAGGAGGUGCAUGGCGUCAGU